UGGGGAAUAUUGCACAAUGGGCGCAAGCCUGAUGCAGCCAUGCCGCGUGAGUGAAGAAGGCCCUCGGGUUGUAAAGCACUUUCAGCGGGGAGGAAGGCGGUGAGGUUAAUAACUUCAUCGACUGACGUUACCCGCAGAAGAAGCACCGGCUAACUCCGUGCCAGCAGCCGCGGUAAUACGGAGGGUGCAAGCGUUAAUCGGAAUUACUGGGCGUAAAGCGAACGCAGGCGGUCUGUCAAGUCGGAUGUGAAAUCCACGGGCUCAACCUGGGAACUGCAUUCGAAACUGUCAGGCUAGAGUCUUGUAGAGGUAGGUAGAAUUCCAGGUGUAGCGGUGAAAUGCGUAGAGAUCUGGAAGAAUACCGGUGGCGAAGGCGGCCCGCUAGACAAAGACUGACGCUCAGGUGCGAAAGCGAGGGGAGCAAACGGG
This 429-nucleotide ribosomal RNA is filed under the name Chloroflexota bacterium. RNAcentral describes it as "Chloroflexi bacterium partial 16S ribosomal RNA". It matches the Rfam family "Bacterial small subunit ribosomal RNA", at positions 355 to 776 of the family's 1533-position model. The record is from RNAcentral. Lineage: Bacteria; Bacillati; Chloroflexota.